Molecule: long non-coding RNA, 746 nt
Filed under: Spirodela polyrhiza (greater duckweed)
Lineage: Eukaryota; Viridiplantae; Streptophyta; Magnoliopsida; Alismatales; Araceae
Description: long non-coding RNA (SPOL_LNC001323)
Source: RNAcentral
CGGGGCCGGGUGGGGCUGAGAAGAACCGCUGUGGGCGCAAGCGACGUCUCGUGUUUCCUGCGGAGACGAUGGCGCUGGGGGAUGAGACAGCGACGGUCGGGUGCUAAGCGGCUCCGACGGGACAUCCGAACGGGCGGCGAGAGACGGGUGUCAACGGAGACCCUGGUGCGGCCGACGUGGCGUCUGAUUCGGGGGGCGGCGGGGUGGACAAGUGGGACUGGAACGCUUCCGUCAGCCCCACUCGCGCGCGAGCUGGCAGGGGGGCCGGAACAGCCUGUAAACAGCUGUCUUCAAGCUCCCCCCCGCCACCACCCGCUGGCCUGCUUCGCUUCUCUUCUCCACCUAAUCCAUUAAUGCGGUUCUCUCUCUCCCCGCACAGCUAGCUCUGCAAGGCUGAUAAGAUUCUUUCCCUUUAAUCUGCCCUCCCCUAUGGUUGCCUUUCUCCAUUAUUCUUGGAUUCUUACGGUUCUUCCUGCCCACUCAGUACCAGUUCGAGGUGCUCGCCGCCGCGCCAAUCCACACGUCGCCCUCACGCUUCUCCAUGGAUUCCCCCGCCCCACGCUUCCCAGACCGACGGCUGUUCCAGCCUGGGUCGUCCUCCUCCCCCUUCCCCUGAAGCUGUAGCUCCAGAGGGGGCGACCCUUAAAGCCCUCGUCUCUAUCUUGAUCUUGUUCCUCGUCCCGGCCGCGGUCUGUGAACCCUAAUUCUGUCAGAGGGAAGACGAUAAGGGAAGAGAGAGCNNNNNN